AACGAACGCUGGCGGCAUGCCUAACACAUGCAAGUCGAACGAGACCUUCGGGUCUAGUGGCGCACGGGUGCGUAACGCGUGGGAAUCUGCCCUUAGGUACGGAAUAACUCAGGGAAACUUGAGCUAAUACCGUAUAAUGACUCCGGUCCAAAGAUUUAUCGCCUAGGGAUGAGCCCGCGUCGGAUUAGCUUGUUGGUGAGGUAAAAGCUCACCAAGGCGACGAUCCGUAGCUGGUCNGAGAGGAUGAUCAGCCACAC
RNAcentral lists this ribosomal RNA (257 nucleotides) under uncultured bacterium. Its description in RNAcentral is "partial 16S ribosomal RNA". It matches the Rfam family "Bacterial small subunit ribosomal RNA", at positions 29 to 313 of the family's 1533-position model. The record is from RNAcentral.